Molecule: long non-coding RNA, 242 nt
Filed under: Elaeis guineensis (African oil palm)
Lineage: Eukaryota; Viridiplantae; Streptophyta; Magnoliopsida; Arecales; Arecaceae
Description: long non-coding RNA (EGUI_LNC068060)
Source: RNAcentral
AUUGGUCUUUUCGAGAAUGCUAAUUCACAUGAACACCUUCUUAUUGGCUGAUUUAGAUCUUUUCUUCAAAUCUUUAGAAUAUUUUUAAAGAUUAAAGAUGUACUUUUGGAGGAGAUGAAAAGGUGAAAAAAAGAUGGAGAAGAAAAUAAUUUCUCUUUUAUUUUUUCUCUCUUCCCAAACCCUUAGGACCAAAACACUAGAAACUAGAUUUUUGCGCACACCCAAAGAGAAAGGACUCUCCU